UUCAUUGGUAAAUUGGCUAAUUUAAUAUUCUCAUUAAAUAUAUGAGACUAUUUUAUUUAUAUUUUUACUAUUUAAAGUGCCUCAUCAGAUAAAAUAUGUUUACAUGUCCAAGAAAUGACUUUGGUUCCUAACAAAAAAAAUCCCAUAAUAUUAUACUCCUCAGGAGCUUGUCACAUGGCAAACAAAUACCCUGUGAUUUUCCUCGUAGUUUUGAUGGGAUUUCUGGAGGUCGUAUUGUCCUAAAAACAAACAAAAAAGGGCCUUUUUCUUUUCUGGUAACUCUUCCAAUAAAGGGCAAAAAGAAAACGGAUAGGAGAGUGAGAGAGAGAGAGAGAAAAUGGGGGAAGAUCCAUGAAAAUCACUACAUGGCNNN
This 373-nucleotide long non-coding RNA is filed under the name Amborella trichopoda. Its description in RNAcentral is "long non-coding RNA (ATRI_LNC002029)". The record is from RNAcentral. Lineage: Eukaryota; Viridiplantae; Streptophyta; Magnoliopsida; Amborellales; Amborellaceae.